Small nucleolar RNA from Diospyros lotus (date-plum), 107 nucleotides. NCBI's taxonomy places the organism in Eukaryota, Viridiplantae, Streptophyta, Magnoliopsida, Ericales, Ebenaceae. The record is from RefSeq and is a predicted model, not a curated record.
AAACCAUGACUAGGGCACUUCCUAAGAAACUCUUUGAACCAUUCCCAUGUUUCAUGAAAGUUUUUAGAUUCAUCUUGUUGGAUGGUCGAUAUUUCAUGCUUGAGUUU